Molecule: ribosomal RNA, 561 nt
Filed under: uncultured bacterium
Lineage: Bacteria
Description: bacterial SSU rRNA
Rfam family: Bacterial small subunit ribosomal RNA
Source: RNAcentral
CCUACGGGAGGCAGCAGUGGGGAAUAUUGGACAAUGGGCGAAAGCCUGAUCCAGCAAUGCCGCGUGAGUGAUGAAGGCCUUAGGGUCGUAAAGCUCUUUUACCCGGGAUGAUAAUGACAGUACCGGGAGAAUAAGCCCCGGCUAACUCCGUGCCAGCAGCCGCGGUAAUACGGAGGGGGCUAGCGUUGUUCGGAAUUACUGGGCGUAAAGCGUGCGUAGGCGGUUAUUCAAGUCAGAGGUGAAAGCCCGGGGCUCAACCCCGGAACGGCCUUUGAAACUAGGUAGCUAGAAUCUUGGAGAGGUCAGUGGAAUUCCGAGUGUAGAGGUGAAAUUCGUAGAUAUUCGGAAGAACACCAGUGGCGAAGGCGACUGACUGGACAAGUAUUGACGCUGAGGCACGAAAGCGUGGGGAGCAAACAGGAUUAGAUACCCUGGUAGUCCACGCCGUAAACGAUGAUAACUAGCUGUUCGGGUACUUGGUAUCUGAGUGGCGCAGCUAACGCAUUAAGUUAUCCGCCUGGGGAGUACGGUCGCAAGAUUAAAACUUAAAGGAAUUGACGG